This 248-nucleotide unclassified non-coding RNA is filed under the name Hevea brasiliensis (rubber tree). Lineage: Eukaryota; Viridiplantae; Streptophyta; Magnoliopsida; Malpighiales; Euphorbiaceae. The record is from RNAcentral.
AGAGAGAGAGAGAGAGACAGAGGGCUGCUUUUGUAUGUGUACACCACUGUGAGGGGCUUUGUAAGCCUUCGUGAUCUGCUAUGGGCAAAUUAAUAUCAGUUCAUUAUGAAAUUUGUCGCUGUCGAUAUCUACUACUUCGUAUGCAUAUUUAUAGUAUCUACUUCAUGUUUUUCAUGAUAUAGUACCGAAAUUGAAAAUUAGAUAGAUAUUAUUUUGCACAAUGAAAACUGUGAGAACAUUUAGUCUUU